Molecule: ribosomal RNA, 465 nt
Filed under: uncultured bacterium
Lineage: Bacteria
Description: partial 16S ribosomal RNA
Rfam family: Bacterial small subunit ribosomal RNA
Source: RNAcentral
GAUGAACGCUGGCGGCGUGCUUAACACAUGCAAGUCGAACGGAAAGGCUCCUGCUUGCAGGGGUACUCGAGUGGCGAACGGGUGAGUAACACGUGGGUGAUCUGCCCUGCACUUCGGGAUAAGCCGGGGAAACUGGGUCUAAUACCGGAUAGGACCACAUUUUGGAGGGUGUGGUGGAAAGUUUUUCGGUGUGGGAUGAGCUCGCGGCCUAUCAGCUUGUUGGUGGGGUAAUGGCCUACCAAGGCGUCGACGGGUAGCCGGCCUGAGAGGGUGUACGGCCACAUUGGGACUGAGAUACGGCCCAGACUCCUACGGGAGGCAGCAGUGGGGAAUAUUGCACAAUGGGCGCAAGCCUGAUGCAGCGACGCCGCGUGGGGGAUGACGGCCUUCGGGUUGUAAACUCCUUUCGCUAGGGACGAAGCGCAAGUGACGGUACCUGGAGAAGAAGCACCGGCUAACUACGUG